This 513-nucleotide ribosomal RNA is filed under the name uncultured bacterium. RNAcentral's name for it is "bacterial SSU rRNA". It matches the Rfam family "Bacterial small subunit ribosomal RNA", at positions 34 to 507 of the family's 1533-position model. The record is from RNAcentral.
CGCUGGCGGCGUGCCUAAUACAUGCAAGUCGAACGCACUCUCGUUUAGAUUGAAGGAGCUUGCUCCUGAUUGAUAACAUUUGAGUGAGUGGCGGACGGGUGAGUAACACGUGGGUAACCUGCCCUAAAGUGGGGGAUAACAUUUGGAAACAGAUGCUAAUACCGCAUAAAACCUAACACCGCAUGGUGUAGGGUUGAAAGAUGGUUUCGGCUAUCACUUUAGGAUGGACCCGCGGUGCAUUAGUUAGUUGGUGAGGUAAAGGCUCACCAAGACCGUGAUGCAUAGCCGACCUGAGAGGGUAAUCGGCCACACUGGGACUGAGACACGGCCCAGACUCCUACGGGAGGCAGCAGUAGGGAAUCUUCCACAAUGGACGAAAGUCUGAUGGAGCAACGCCGCGUGAGUGAAGAAGGUUUUCGGAUCGUAAAACUCUGUUGUUGGAGAAGAAUGUAUCUGAUAGUAACUGAUCAGGUAGUGACGGUAUCCAACCAGAAAGCCACGGCUAACUACGUG